RNAcentral lists this small RNA (8443 nucleotides) under Rattus norvegicus (Norway rat). Its description in RNAcentral is "uncharacterized LOC102548189". The stretch from base 2262 to 2330 matches the Rfam family "tRNA". Lineage: Eukaryota; Metazoa; Chordata; Mammalia; Rodentia; Muridae. The record is from RNAcentral.
UAUUAAAAAAAAAAAAUCAUUCUGUAGCUUCUAAGUUGGCCCUAGGGUAAAGUAAACAAGUUCACAAGAAUCGUUUCCCAAUGCUUCUUCUGUGCCAGGUCCUCUGCUAGGUACUGUGGUGAGUGCCAGGAGCCCACAAGACUUGCAGAGAGUGCUACAGGGCCGACUCAGGAAGCACCAGCAGCCAGGAGGCAGGAGAGUUGGAUGCUCUGUGCCUGGGUCUACAGAGGGUGGUGUACUGGUACUGAGGUGGGUUCCGUGCGGCAUGCAAAUAGAGACAGUAUGUUCCUGGACUGGUUGGGCUCAGGUACCUCCAAACCCAGCAGGUGUCCCCAAUAUGAGAAGCUUGCGGGGAGCGGUGGCUGAACCCCCUCCCCAGAAGGCAGCUCGCAGCUGCCUCACCCAGCCCCAUAUGGUCUCUGUGAGGAAUGCUUUCCUUGGACAAAGCAAAAGCCAGGGCAGCAGGCCGGAGGAAGCAUGCUCCCUGCCUUAAAUAGAAGCAAGCCAGGGCUGGUAGAGAGUUUGCAGAGGAGGAUGGGCUUCGGGCUAGAGUGCUUUAAAGAAAGCUCAGUGGUUAUACUGUCUUACUGCCUAUGCCCGUAAGGCAGAGGCGGGGCUCGGGGCUGUACAUCUUACGAGAGAUCUGAGGUGGCUCUCUUCUCCACCACAACCCUGCAGAGCGGGGGCUGGGUAGCAGCUUUCUCUCCUGCAAGCGCAGUGAAGUACCAAUGUCUUGUAGGCAUUGCCAGUGAUGCCACACACGACAGCAAUUAAGCAACACACCACACAUUCCAAAGGAGUCUCCGAGAGCCCCAAGAUGAGCAAUUCCAUAAUAUAGGAGAGGUUCGGAGACUGAGCCAGCACUGAAGGGUGACCGAAGGGUGACAAGGCAUGGUGAUGCUGGCCUCUGAAUGCAUUCAAGCACACUCUGAAGGCCUCCCUGGGGCUCCCUCCUGUCGGCUUCUUAGUUCCCUCAUGCAGUCAGAAAGGUGGCAAGUCACGGUGUGGCUGGCUGAGCUCCACCACUCAGAGAAAGAUGGGGUCAAAUGAAGAAUGCUGAGAGAUGCUUAGCAUAGAGGACAUGAGAGGAAGCCCCCUCAAGAGGACCCAUAUGGGAGAAGUCAAAACGCUUUGAUCAAAGUGUCCAGAAGGUGCUGACAGAGACUCCAAUUUCACCCAAAACAUUCUGGUCUCCUCACCAAAGUGGAAGUGCCCGGCGGAAGCCGGUGGGCCAGUCUGUGUAUCUCCGCGCUACUGGGCAGUGAGCCAGUCACACCACUGACAUUGCCCCCUGGGGUAUGACACCAAGUAGGCUCCCAGCAGUUUACACACACAGGGAAAGAAGCCUUUUAUCCUAGGACCCUACCUCUACACCACAGGACCCCUUGGUUUCUGACCGCAAGUCUUUCUUGACAGAAAACCCGGCAUGGAGACUCCAGACCACAGACAGACCAAGAGCUGUCUGUUAUAAGGGGUCAGGACACCCCAAGAAUGGGUGCCUCCUCCAGGAUCCACACUAUCCCCUCUCGGUCCCCUCAUCAAUGAACUUAGAGAGCACUCAGGCCUACAAACUCCCCAGCUUCUUGACCGGCUGCAAAGCAGAGCAGUUCCCCGGUCCCCGCCACCGCCCACACGGGUACACACUUCCAUGGGUCUCUGUACAGAGAGGUGUCGAGAACCACCACCACCCACUUCAAGAACUGUGUCACAAGAAAUUCUACCACAUCCCAGGCGAGAGAGCACCAGCCCCCUCAGCCUUCUGUAGCCAGAACAAACGUGGGCGGAGCCUGCAUCCUGGCAGGAGGAUGCCACCCAAGAGGCAGCCGAGUCCUGAGGCAGAAGGCAACAAGAGUCCUGGGUGCCAGUUCCACUCUGCCGUCACCACCUCUGUAAUCAGGUGAAUCUUUCUGAACUUCAGUAUCCACAGCCACAAGGUAGGACAGCCUACUGUCCUUGGUGCUUGUGGGACCGGAUUUGGGUUUAUAGGAGGGAUUUUUUUUUCAAGUGCUUUAUAAAGCACUCUCAAAUGUUAGCUAUAUUUACAUUGAUUUUAUUGCUGGACUCCCAGGAGCCGACUGGGCAUUUAUUCAAGGCCUUUUGUGACUGAUGCCAGGCACCCUCACAGGCUGGGCAGAGGGACAGGCUGCUGCUCUCAUGGGACUGCCAGACCCCAGACACUGAAAGGUCCAGGUCUCGUGAAUUCCUGGUUUCCACCCCUAAUCAGGAGGACCUAUCCUGAUUAGAAGUUCUAUCUGGGGGUUGGGGAUUUAGCUCAGUGGUAGAGCGCUUGCCUAGCAAGCACAAGGCCCUGGGUUCGGUCCCCGGCUCCGAAAAAAAAAAGAAAAAAGAAGUUCUAUCUGUCCAGGUGGGGGUGACAGGGGUCCCUAGUAAGCCUAGAGAUGGCCUGAGGGAGACUCAGUGGGCUGAGGCACACCCCAAGUCUCACCUGACCUCCUGACUCAGUCUGCCCUGCCACAACCCUCCCCCCAAAGUAAGUUUCCCAGGACUGGUGACACAGGAAACACUGCUGGCUUGGUCCCCUACUAAAAGCAAUGCAGGCUGGGCAAAGGCUCAGCUUCCAGACAGCAGGCCUGAGAACUUGGGAGGCGAUGUGGAAGGAAACAAGCAGAAAGUGAGCCCGUCCUUCCCCACUGCUGCUCAAAUCUGUCCUGAGGCAGGGCUGCUCAGAUAUGCAGCACCCUUACCUGGGAGUAGACAGAGACCCACACUCUGAGCCCUCACUCUUCCGUGCCGGUGCAGAGACUGGGGGGGAAAGGGGAUGGCCACCAUGUGAAACGUGUGCUCUGAGCCUUCAGAACCACACUCAGCUUAGUUAGAACCACAGCUGUAGUCUAUGCCCUCCCUUCAGCUGCACAGCCGUUAGAACCUACUGGGAACUUUAGGGUACAACAAUGUCGGGGUGCAUUCCACAGAGAGGUACUCUACUGGUGCCCACCCCUCCGCCCUGUGCUCCUUUAAAUGUUCUUGGAGAGAAGCAGGCAUGGAGGAUUCUCAGGACUGAAGAAGUCCUCUGUGGGACACUAAGAUGGCCGCCGUGCGUCAUUAUAGUCCUCCCAUGCCCACUGCACAGCACCAGGAGUGGACACUAAGGCCAACUGUGGACUCUGAAUGACAAUGAUGUGUCCAAGAAGGUUUGUCCACUGACUGCAACUGCACUACUCCGGGAAGAUUCUGGUAAUGGGGGAUGUACGCGUCAGGGGUUAUGGAUAGCAAUUGCAUGAUGUACUAUGUUCUCUCUAAAUGCUGCUAUUUUAUUUAAUCUGUUCUUUAAAAAUCCCCCAGGUCAAAGGUUGCAGAUAUAGCUCUGCAGAUAGUCUAUCACCAAUCAUCCAUGAAGUCCUGUGUUCAAUCCCCAACACUAUGUAAAACAGGUGUGGUAGUACACGUCUAUAAUCCCCGAACCUGGGAGGCAGAAACAGGAGAGUUAGAAAUUCAAGUCAUCCUUGGCUUAACAAGUAAAUCAAAGGGCUAGCUUUGGCUACAAAAGAUCUUGUCUUGGAAGGAAGGAAGGAAGGAAGGAAGGAAGGAAGGAAGGAAGGAAGGAAGGAAGGAAGGAAGGAAGGAAGGAAAAGAAGUAAGUAAGUAAAAGUAAUCUUCCAGGUAAUUCUGGUGUGUGAACCCUGGGAUGACAUCUGGAGUGUGGACAGGACAAUCGGGCUUCAGAGACAACAGAGAGCAAGAAGGAUGCCUUGUGGCUGAAUCUUGAGGAGGGGAGGGGCCUUCCCAGCAAGCAGCCUCAGGAAGGAGGCACCCGUGUUCUGAUGGUGCCGGCUGUGUGAGAACCACCAGUACAAACAAGACUGUUCGACAACCAUCGUUUCAGAUAACCCACCAGUACAAACAACAGAAAACAGCACGCUGUCUCCAAGGGUUGCCUUGCCUUGAUUCUCUAUAAGCCUUUUACUGAAGUAUACACAUGUGAUAAGAACAGGCCUCUGGGUUCAAUCCCCAGUACCACAAGGAAAUAAAGUGUGUCUUUUAAAGGAAGGAGGAAAAAAGAAAGCGUGUAUGUAAGUGGACACCCAGGACCAAGACUGAGACACAAAUAUUUGCAGGUACCUUGUGUUCCCAUGCAGCGCCCUCUCCCCACGGUGGUCCAUUUCUGGCCUGCCUCUCACCUCCAAAGCACAGAUCUGAAGGCCUCGACCUUCGCCUACAUAGAAGGUACACUGAGUACACUCACUAGCUUAGGUCCUCCAUUAGAUUCUGUGAGACUCAGCUAUGGCAGCAGACAGUUCACCCUCACAGAUGCAUCUCCUACACUCCUCUGAUUGACAUAAGCAAGUCUUUCCCUGGAGGCAGAAUCACAGGGUCAGAGUGACCAAGCCACUCUCCUAAACCCCAGUCAGACUCUUACCCUGCUGGGCUCCCCUCCACCCCCCAGCCCUAUAUAUCACAUGCAUUCAUUACUGUUUCAGACUCUUGCCCUGUAAGUCAUGCAUGCUCCACAAAGACAGGGUGCUGUGCUGUGUUCCCUGGAUACAGCUUGACCUAGAACAGAUGCACCUCUGGCUAGCCAGAGAACUCCUGCCCUCACUUGUGCACACAAGCAGAGGGCUCUGCUCUCAGGACCCCCCGGCUGUCAGUGAGGCCUCUGUUGAAGCUGAGGGCCCCCAGUCACGCUUGCAGACACAAGAAUCAGAGAUCACAGUGGCUCUUGGGACAAGUCUAAUUAGUGGUGGAGCACCAGGAAAUUGGUAUAGCACCCACUUAGGGGAGGUGCAGUGAGGAAGGUAGAGACGGAGACUCUGCUUGGAGAGGAACUCAGGCCUCGUGGGCUCUGGUGAGUAGCAUUGGUACCUCUGGGGUUGCCUGUUCCAAAGCUCCUACAGAGAGAAGGCAGGGAGGGCAGUGCGAGCACACACUGGGACUGGACUGAAGGCAAAGACCAAUCCUGGCAGACAAGAACGAAGAAUGACUAUAGUAUAUGGCAACGACAGAACACAGAGUGACAAGGCAAGGCCUGGGGUCGUCCUUGGCUGUGUGGCAGGUAUGGGCUUCGCUGUGCCCAUACUGAGAAGGUCCCUAGGUUACAGCCGCCAGGUCCCUGGUUCUUCACUGGUGAACUGACCGCACACGUGUUGGUUCUAAACCACACUGCUUCGGCAAGAACCUAGGGGACAGACCAAGCUGACAGUCAAAGCACCCAACCGGGGGGAGGGGAGGGGGGGACAGACAAGAGGGUCAGAGUUAAAAUACUAUCACACGGCAUCUUAAACAAUUCACUCACUCCAGCCAAGGCUGGCCACAGCGACACUUUCCGCCCAGAGCUCAAUCCAGAACCUUCUACACCAUGUGAGAGCAAGCAAGGCCUCUGCUUCAGCGCCUCAGACCCCAGUGUCGCUGUGGCAACGGGCCACAAACACGGGGAGCCCAGGCUUCAGCACUACAAACAACCCUGACAGAUUCAAUAAAUAAAAACGCACUACGGCAAUUCGUGGGGGAAUUUAUGAGAAAUUAAAAUUUCGACUUGGACAAUAAACAACCCGUUUCAGAAUCUGCCCCACUUAAAGCUAAAUAAACCGCGUACAAGGAUUUUUGGAGCAUGAGGAGGUGAGGCUAAAAGCGGGCCUGGCGGGGAGUGCCUCGUGGCCCUCCACACCAAGAGCACUCUGCGGAGCACACAUGCCUGCUUCUCCUCUGCAGCUCCAUGCCUGGUCCUUCCAAAAGCCACCUGGGCCACAGAAAGGCGAGGACGAGGAACUCAAGUGUGCACGAACUCAAUCAAUCGGUGUCACGUGGUGAAUGACCCAGGGUCGCAAAGCCCAUCAAGGUCAGAGGCAAGAGGCAAAGCUGCAGGUCAGCCCGAUUCCAAUGCUCCCGUGUGCACAGGGGAGAGCCUCAAGCAGAUCAAGGAAAUUCUCAUUCAUUCACCACACACAGGCGGAGGGGCUCAGAUCCCAGGAUUCUGCGGUAUGAGUACACACAGCAUCGAGAUGAAAGGCUGAGGGGAGACAGGGAUGGAUGGUUCUGUGGGGAUAUCUCCCACUCCUGCUUUCUGAAGAGUCAGAGACUCUGGAAAGGCACAUCAAAGAUGGGACCCAAGAGACACUGCACAAUCCUCUUUACAGAGAGGAAACCAAAGGGCAGCCCACACUGCAAAGGCACUGGAUAGGCUGUGGCUCAAGCAGGGAGCCAACAGCCUUGGCCUGAUGCUUUCUCUUGUGGUAGGUGCCACAUGCCCAAUUCUCAUCUAGGUUUGGUGCAUAAGGUCCUUGAUGGAGAAAAGGGAUCAUGACCUGAGGUUCAAUAGACUGAUGCCUAAUCUCUUAAGGGACCACCUGAUUGUGGGUGGGACAGAUUUGCCAGCAGGUGCCACAUGGUUCUGGCAAAGAGACCUGCUCAGCCACAGAGACAUGGACCAGAAAGGAACUACCCUUCUUCCCAGCUCUGUAAUGCAAUCCUAUGGCCAUCCAUGUCCCAAAGUCUCUGGUGAAGAGUAAGUCAGAGGCUUGGUCAUCUCUGUCCUUACAGGACAGCAAAGGACCUGGCAGGGAGUCCUGGGAGGAAUCUAGGAACAAAAGGAUUGUAGGGGGCCAACUACCCAUCACUGGUUCACUCCUCAGCUUGCAACCUGGCAACCCCAGGGGUCAGACGGAAUUCAACUGUGAGAGACACCAUGAGGGAAAAGCAAAUGUCACAUACAUCCCUGUAGCACACGUGACAACAAUGUGCUGGGCCUAGAAGGACAAACCCAAUGCAGUGUUCAAUUCCCCCAGGUACCCAGGCCAUUUCCCCUAGGAACUUUGUAAAAAGUUGGUUUGAAAAGCUACAAACCAAUAAAUAUUAUUCAUAUUUAUGGAGAGCACAGUAAUCAUCAUAGCCCUGCCCCUACAACACGAGAGCUGGACACUCAUGGCAAUAAUAUUUACAACAGCAACAAAGGAGAAACCAGGGACAGCAUCCACUCAUGGCAGCUAGGUGCCAUGAUUUGCACCAUAAGUUGUUUAAAAUACAGCAAUGAACAGUCUAUCUCUGUUUACUAUCACAGUAAAAAGGGACCACAUGCAUGCCCCGAGUAUGAAGAAACAUAUUUUGCUUCUCCUAUAGGUUACAAAGGAGGCUCUGGAUCUUCUAGAAGGCCAUUUAAAGAAGCCCUCUAGAAGGUCAGAAAAUCACAAGGACAGAGAGACAACUCCAGAAGGGGCCCUGGUCCUAUAGCAGCUUUGUGCUAUCACAGAAGUAAAGGAGGUCACUAGCGGUCCAGCUGGAGGAGACCCUUAGCUUGUCUUUCCCCUAGAAUAUGGAAGGGCAGGAAUCCCCAUCCCCAGUGGGAAGAGAAGACACUGAGGUUGCGGGUAGCAAAGUAACAACGGCCUGUGCGAUAGGCCCUGAGGCAAACAGCCUCAGACGUUGCUCUUCCAGGCCCUGCUGCCUGGGCUGAGAGGCAGCCCUGGUCACUAGCCUAUCAAGCUCAGUCACUGUAGGCACCAACACCGUCCAUCAUGCCAGGCUCUAAUUCUGCCCUACUCCUGGGCCCUCAGCUCAGACCCAGAGGCUAACUUGGCUCCUACUGAUCUUGGGGAGAAGACAGCAAACCAAAAGACCUCCUCCCUACCAGAAAACCGUACCCUUUUCCCACCUGAGAUGAGAGAAGCACAAUCAAGGCCAAAAUUCCCUAUUAGUCAAGGGUGGGCUUCAUAAGACCAGAAUUAUUCUGGUAGACGAUGAGGGUCUACAAAGUCCUUGCCCAGUACAGCCCUGCCUGGCCUCCUGAGCGCCUCCUGGCACUGGAGCUAAGCUGCAUAAGGGUCUCCCACCUGUCCUCAUGUCAUCUCAAGCUUUGGCCUUGCCACCAUCUGAUCAAUGGGCCCCAGAAAGGUUGUACCCACUUGCCCAGAACUGUACAGCUAUGAAAGGGUAUGGCUGGAACUACAGCUGAAUCCUAACUGAUGGCGUGUGGAGUCCAGGCCUCAGGAACCCAAACCCAUCUUUGCUGCAAUUUACUGGACAGUAGACGGUAAAGCUGGCUCCACAUGGGCAGCCAAGUCUUGCCUAAAAGUAGACAAUAUCAAAACAAGCCAGCAAGGGAAAGCGCAAACAGUGGAUCUCUAUUGCUACAGGGCUGGUCAUGGAGGCCCAGCCCAAUGACAAAGGCAUUCCGGCAGCCCUACACAGGUAUGCCCUAGCUCCCAGACUCCGACGUGGUCUCCUUCUCCCAUAUGUCUCUCCGCAGCCUGGACAGAUUUUCCCUGCCCAGGCCCUGCACCUCAUUUCCACUGGAUCAGCAGAGCUUCCCAGGGAAGCUUCUAGAGUGUGACUAAGCCCCACAACACCAAGUUUCUGGGACACAGCUGCUGGCUGGGCCCCAGCAAGCCGGCAUCGCCUUAUAGGGCAUGCUCUAUGGCUGUUCUACAAAACUCAAGACUUGUAAGAUGCAGACAGUGAAGCUAGAGAGCAGGCUGGGAGGGGGGGGGGGGGG